This 2989-nucleotide long non-coding RNA is filed under the name Nicotiana tabacum (common tobacco). RNAcentral describes it as "long non-coding RNA (NTAB_LNC012781)". The record is from RNAcentral. Lineage: Eukaryota; Viridiplantae; Streptophyta; Magnoliopsida; Solanales; Solanaceae.
CUGAAAACCCUAUCAGCUUUCUUCUUCUUCUUCGUGGAAAAACUAAGCUAAAAAAGACCUAGAUCUCUAAGAGUUCAGCCGCAAAGGAUCAUAGAGGACCCCCCCUCCUGUUCUUCACCUUCUUCAACAUUUGAGGAUAGCAGCCAUGACCAUCUUCUUCAACAACAAAAUCACAGAUCCUAAGUCCUAACACACACAACCGUUCUUCAUCAGCUGGACAAAACAAACCAGCGAUAAUGGCAGUCAUUCCCUCUUAAGCUUCAGCCGCAGAAACUCUAAGUUAGAUCAUCUCUUUCACCUAAAAAAAUGACAGAGAAAUAAGCGGCCAAAAAGAUCCCUCAAACUUAAGACUGAAGACCGCAGUUUCCUCCACCCUAUCUCCAUCGCUUCUCUCAACUUGGAGGGCAAACAUCCACCACUGCUUCUUCUUCUCCGGUUGAAAUUCCGGCAAGCUCGAAUUCUAAGCAUCUCAAAGCUGAGUUUGAGUUCGUGACCAAUGGGAUGAGCCGAGGUUGAUUCUAGUUUGAGUUCGAGGUUUUCGUUAAGGUCUCCCGUCGCCGGCUUUUACUUGUAUUUCCAAACAGAAAUCGUUAAAUACCAUUGAAGGUAAAAUGUUCCUGUGAUCUUCUUCUUAGAUAUGUGAUGAAUUUGCAGCGUUUUUUUGUGGUUUAUAAUAUUGUUAAAUGAAGUAAUUCCAGCUGUGAAUACAAUCUUUAUUAACUCUAUAUUCAAAUGGCUACUUAAUAACUUUAAUCUCUCUUCAGAUUUCUGUUCGUUUUCUGUUAUUUGUUUUCUAUCCCUUUUACUAUUAUUCUUCUUCUUUGUCAUUUUUGGGUUUAUCAUUUUGUUUUUUAAAUAAUUUCAUUAGGAGUAGGAUGAAUUUAAUGGCAUAAUAUUACAAAAGGCAUGUGAGGGUAGUAACUAGUAAAGUGUAUGAAAUGUGCAUGCACUAAAAGAAAGAGGAAGUCGACUGUCCUUGAAACCGUUGCUGCCAUGCUUGUCAUGUUCAAGUGAAUUUAAAUGAAUUUAUGUUUGUCUGUUUGGUCUAUGUUUUCCAUGAAUUUGUUUCAUAUAAAUGUCUUAUGGGGCCAUGGGAUUUGGAUUUAGGCGCCUAAUUUGGAUUUAGGUGCAUUUCUAAAAACAAAACUGGAGUAUGCAUUCGCACAACUUCGGCCAAAUUUUCUUAAUAAUAAUAAGGCAUUAUUAAUUGUGGACACGUUUGCGAUAUGAUUUUUGACGCACCAAACAAAUGGUUAUACAUACGCGUGACCCGUUUCAAGAUAAUUUCCUAAUUAAAAGAGGCAAAUGCACAUAGGUUCUAAAAUCAGUAGUCAAACAAUUUGUUUAAGCCAAGUAUGAUCAAAGCGACCUUGCUAAAACUACGGAAUUCGAGAAUGCCUAACACCUUCUUCUGGGUUAACAGAAUUAUUUUCCGAGAUUUCUGUGUUCGCAGAUCGUGAAUAAAGUCAAACUUCCUCGAUUCGGGAUUCUAAACCGGUGACUUGGGACACCAUAAAUUAUCCCAAGUGGCGACUCUGAAUUUAAUAUGAAUAAUCCUGUUUCGAUUGUCACUUAAAUUGGAAAAAACUCCCUUAUACCCCCUUCUCGGGUGUAGUAAAAAAGAGGUGUGACAGCUCUGGCGACUCCGCUGGGGAUAAGAACCCAGAACUUCUGGUUCAGGGUUCAAGAAUUCGAGCUUGUUAUUAUGAUUUUUACUUGGGUUCAUUUAUUGUUAAUAUUGCCGUAUGUUGUGAACCUUUUAUGCUAAUUGCUGUUUGUUUACCACUUUAAUAUUAUUUGAAUUGUAUAUAACUGUCUUUUUAUGCCACCCCUCUCAGUCUUCUGAAAAUGGUGCACACGUUCGCGUGGCUCGCUUUUUCUGUAGAAGUUAUACCAAAUAAAACGAGGCUGGGCCAGCAACAAGGUCAGGUAGACUUCAGUGCUCCCGGUAUGUUGCCCCCUCUUCGACUCGAGUUGUCCGCUCGGGUAAGCCAGGUCAAGAACACAACCCCAGGUUUUAAACCUAGAAUAACAUAACCUUAUGUCGGAUCCCUAGUAUGAACGUUUGUUUGCAUCACGUAUAUUUGACUUAGGGGACUCAACACAGGGGUUGGGUCCGUCUAGGAUAAGUGUACCCAAAAAUAAAAGACCAUCGUGAUGCAUCCUAAAUGUGUUACAUGUUAUAAUCUUCAAGGGUAAAGGGGGUCAUUUGGCGGACCAAUGAGGUUUGAGGGUAAAUGAGAAAGAAAAGAGAUUGAAGUAUAAAAAUAAGGCAAAUAGGGUCCAGUUAUAAUUUUCUUUGACACUUUUUCAAGAAAAAAACAAAAAAUUAAAAUGAAAAAAAAAAUCCAAAAAGAUUCUGCACUUUUCCCAUCAUUUUCCAAAAAUCAAAAAAAGGGGAAAAGAAAAUCUAAAAAGAGUUUACAUGUUUCAUCAUUUUUUAGAAAAAAAAAUAUAUUUUCUCUAAAUAGUUGUUCUUUUCAAUUCUCGCCCGUAUCUAAUUUGCCCGGACUACGCGAACCUGAUUCUCGUCUCUCGGGGCGUGAUACGUAGGCAACCCACACAGGGUACGGUCUUCCUAGUGAGUCUUAGGUUCUUGGCUUCGCGGGGUCUUAGCCAAAUUUUGUGUUUUUAGCCACAUAAGUCAUUUUGCAAAAAUAGCCUCAACCAUGUAUUGCAUGUGUCUAGUAGGGAAUGUUAUUGUCUCACAUAGUGUUGGUUUUAGUUUUCUCAUACAGGUGUGGAUCUACUUACCGGAGUUUGAGCAAGACACAUAUCCCAGGAUCACUGCAUUCAGGAGCUGCCUGAGGAGCCUUUUUAUGUUUUUGAGUCUAUUGUUCAUGUUCUACUUUCUAGUCCUGUAUAGUAGUAUUCAGUCAUUUAGUUAAUGCUAGAGUCUAUCAUAGUCUAGUUAAGUUUAUCGAGUCUUUUGUUAUUAUUUCGUAUUUUGUAUUUGAAAAAUGUAUUAUAAAUCAAAACUCCAAAAAGA